RNAcentral lists this ribosomal RNA (726 nucleotides) under Vibrio sp. AOH-41. Its description in RNAcentral is "bacterial SSU rRNA". It matches the Rfam family "Bacterial small subunit ribosomal RNA", at positions 45 to 747 of the family's 1533-position model. Lineage: Bacteria; Pseudomonadati; Pseudomonadota; Gammaproteobacteria; Vibrionales; Vibrionaceae. The record is from RNAcentral.
GGCCUAACACAUGCAAGUCGAGCGGAAACGACACUAACAAUCCUUCGGGUGCGUUAAUGGGCGUCGAGCGGCGGACGGGUGAGUAAUGCCUAGGAAAUUGCCUUGAUGUGGGGGAUAACCAUUGGAAACGAUGGCUAAUACCGCAUAAUGCCUACGGGCCAAAGAGGGGGACCUUCGGGCCUCUCGCGUCAAGAUAUGCCUAGGUGGGAUUAGCUAGUUGGUGAGGUAAUGGCUCACCAAGGCGACGAUCCCUAGCUGGUCUGAGAGGAUGAUCAGCCACACUGGAACUGAGACACGGUCCAGACUCCUACGGGAGGCAGCAGUGGGGAAUAUUGCACAAUGGGCGAAAGCCUGAUGCAGCCAUGCCGCGUGUAUGAAGAAGGCCUUCGGGUUGUAAAGUACUUUCAGUUGUGAGGAAGGGGGUAGCGUUAAUAGCGCUAUCUCUUGACGUUAGCAACAGAAGAAGCACCGGCUAACUCCGUGCCAGCAGCCGCGGUAAUACGGAGGGUGCGAGCGUUAAUCGGAAUUACUGGGCGUAAAGCGCAUGCAGGUGGUUCAUUAAGUCAGAUGUGAAAGCCCGGGGCUCAACCUCGGAACUGCAUUUGAAACUGGUGAACUAGAGUACUGUAGAGGGGGGGUAGAAUUUUCAGGUGUAGCGGUGAAAUGCGUAGAGAUCUGAAGGAAUACCAGUGGCGAAGGCCGGCCCCCUGGACAGAUACUGACACU